Molecule: ribosomal RNA, 594 nt
Filed under: uncultured eukaryote
Lineage: Eukaryota
Description: SSU rRNA
Rfam family: Eukaryotic small subunit ribosomal RNA
Source: RNAcentral
AAAAAGCUCGUAGUUGGAGUUCAGAUUGAGCUCGGCCGGUCGGCCUAAUUGGUCAGAACUGGUUGACUCUGUCUUGUUUGUGGAUCCCUCCGGAGUUAACUCUUCGGAUGUGGAGUCCACAUCGUUUACCUUGAAAAAAUUAGAGUGUUCAAAGCAGGCGUUUGCUUGAAUAUAUUAGCAUGGAAUAAUGGAAUAGGACGCUGGUUCUAUUUUGUUGGUUUUGAGAACCAGAGUAAUGAUUAAUAGGGACAGUUGGGGGCAUUCAUAUUUCAUUGUCAGAGGUGAAAUUCUUGGAUUUAUGAAAGAUGAACUUCUGCGAAAGCAUUUGCCAAGGAUGUUUUCAUUAAUCAAAAACGAAAGUUAGGGGAUCGAAAACGAUCAGAUACCGUCGUAGUCUUAACCAUAAACUAUGCCGACUAGGGAUUGGACGUGGUUGGUUCAUUGACCCGUUCAGCACCUUACGAAAAAUCAAAGUCUUUGGGUUCCGGGGGGAGUAUGGUCGCAAGGCUGAAACUUAAAGGAAUUGACGGAGGGGCACCACCAGGAGUGGAGCCUGCGGCUUAAUUUGACUCAACACGGGAAAACUUACCAGGU